AUGAAACGGAGGGAGUACUGCUGUAAUACUAAUCCUAAUAGUAAUACUAUCUCUCCUUUGCUCUUUUGGCUGUUGUAGGGGAGGAAUGGCCGCGCAUUUCUCUUCUCUCGCGCCAUGAACAUCGCUGCGGGGGCCAAGGAGGGCAGGCAGCUCAUGACUGGGCUUCACACGGUGGUCGAUAUCCAUUGCCGUGAUUGCCUCGAGGUGCUUGGAUGGAAAUACGAGAGAGCCUACGAAAGAAUCCUACAAUACAAGGAAGGCGAGUUCAUAUUUGAAAAGGCCAAGAUCAUGCACGAGAAUUGCUAG
RNAcentral lists this ribosomal RNA (306 nucleotides) under Triticum aestivum (bread wheat). RNAcentral describes it as "partial small subunit ribosomal RNA". Lineage: Eukaryota; Viridiplantae; Streptophyta; Magnoliopsida; Poales; Poaceae. The record is from RNAcentral.